RNAcentral lists this long non-coding RNA (1613 nucleotides) under Ananas comosus (pineapple). RNAcentral's name for it is "long non-coding RNA (ACOM_LNC031284)". The record is from RNAcentral. Lineage: Eukaryota; Viridiplantae; Streptophyta; Magnoliopsida; Poales; Bromeliaceae.
AUUAUAAAUUUUAUUUUCAAAUUACAAAUUUCAAAAUUUUUAGAAUUCAAAAUAUAAAAUUUAAAAUUUAAAAUUUAAAAUUUAAAAUUUUAAAUGUUUAGAUUUAUUCAGAUUUUAAAUUUAAAUUUAAAAUCUCAAAAUUUUAAGUUAUAUAUUUUAAUUUUAAAUUUCAAAUUUAGAUUUUAUAAUUUGAAAUUAAAAAUUUAUAUUUAUAUUUAAAAUUUCAAAAUUUAAAUUUUAAAUGUUAAAUUUCAAAUUUAUAUUUUAAAAUCUUAAAUUUUAUAUUAUUUUAAUAUAAGUUUCAGUGAAAAAAAAUUAUUAUUUGCCACCAAAAUUUUUUUUUUGACAAACAGUUUUCGGAAAAAAAAUUACUUUAGAAAAAUUUUACCUUUUAUUUAAACUCGGUAAAUGCUCUACAGUUUUUAAGCAAAACUAAUUUUUUUGAAUCAAAAUUAAUUUUGCAUAAAAAUCAUUUUUAAGAAUAUAGAGGUAAAACGGGGAGUAGGUCUUGUGUGCUAUUCGGUUUGUGCUCCUAAACCGUUUUCAAUGAUAAGACUUCUGAAUCGACGAUCGGCUCUAUUAAACUUGAUCUAACAUAUUUGAACUAUUUAGAAAAUAAAAUUUGCGCUUUUUCAAUAUCAUGUACCUAGUAAUAGAAAGAACUAAAAAUCAAUGAUUGAAAAUAAAACUCUCACAAAAACAAAUGAUACAACACUAAAAUUUUCGAUCAAGAUAUUGAUUUUAUUGUAAAUAGUAUAAAAAAUUUUCUAUCAAAAUUUAAUCUGAUUUGAAUACUUAUACACCGUUAAACUUGCAAAUGACAUACAUCAACCAUUAAAAAUUAUUGAUUUUGAAUUCUUUCGAUCACUAAGUAAAUGAUAUCGAAAAUCUAUAAAAAUUAUUUCUUAAAUAGUUCAAAUACAUUACGUCAAGUCUAACGAAGCGGAUCGUCGAUUCGAAAACUCUAUUAUCGAAAACGGCUUAAAAACACAAAGACCUUCGUUCUCCUAAUAGCACAUACAAAUACUACUCGUAAAACGGCUUCUAAACCAAGUGAUGUUGGUUCGGUUAAAUGCAUCCGAUAACUCGGUUUAUUAGUCGAAUGUCCGCCACUAGAGAUGUCAACGGGUUGGAUUCGGGGCGGAUUUUUAAAAACCCGAACCCGAACCCGACUCCAAACCCGAGACCCGAAUCCGAAUCCGAACCCGACGGAUUUUAAGAAUCCAUAUCCAAACCUGAACCCGACCAAAAACCCGAAAUCCGAACCUGAACCCGAACCCGAAAAUUUGUACCCAAAACAAUUAUUUCUUUUUUCAAUAUUUCAAAAUAUAUUAUAUUAAAUCAAAAUUUUUAAAAUACAAAUUCAAGUAUAACAUCAAAUUUUUAUAUAUAUAUUAUAUAUAACACAAAAUAAAUUCGGAUUCGGGUCGGAUUCGGGUACAAUCAAAAUCCAUAUUCGAAUCCAUAUCCGUCGGGUUUCUAUUUUUGAUAUCCAUAUCUGAAUCCAUAUCUAUGUCCAUAGGAUAUAUCCGUUUUAUUCAGGUUUGGAUUCGAAUAAAAUUUCGGAUAUCCAUAGCCAUGGACAUCUCUAUCCGCCACAAAAUUGAGAAUUC